CUGGAUUUGAUGCUCAUCUUGACCUAAAAUCGUUAAAAAUUUCACAUGAUAUCAACCAUAUUGCUGCUAUUCCUAUCCAAGUAUUCCCACCUUUAGUUCAAUCCUCUCACCAAACAUGUUCUACAUAUGAAGUAGAACAUGUAAUCUUUGUUCAACCAUACAUCACCCUUCCAUCAGAAACCCAUCAAUCAUCUCAACCUU
Molecule: long non-coding RNA, 201 nt
Filed under: Lathyrus oleraceus (garden pea)
Lineage: Eukaryota; Viridiplantae; Streptophyta; Magnoliopsida; Fabales; Fabaceae
Description: Pisum sativum (pea) long non-coding RNA (PSAT_LNC042307)
Source: RNAcentral